CUUUGCUUUUUGGAGCUGGUCAACGGAACGAGCCAAGAGGGAAAUACGCGCUCCCUCCGAUGCAGCUUGUUUGGCUAUGGCUAGCCCGAUGCCCAUUGAACCGCCUGUUAUGAAAACGUGUCGGUUUUUAAUAGGUAUGUUAAUGGGCCGGGGCCGAACGAUGAAGUAGAGGAGGAGGAGAAGGAUUGGUAGGAGGAGAAGACCGAAGAGCACCAUUGAAGUUUAAUUUGUUUUAGGGAGAGAAAUAAUUAAGGUUAAGCAAGCAUCUCUCUCCAUAUGGGGUCUAACAUUAUUUACCCCUUCUAUUCGGGAAUAAUACGCAAGUUUUAAGCAUAAAUCUGAAUGUACAGACCCAUUUUGCCCUAGCCCAAACUCCCAAUACCCAAAACUAUAAUAUUUCGGCUAGAGAGUUUUUUCUUUGUAUGAACACCUAUAUAAAUCAAGGGCAAAAAUAGAUUAAAAAAAAAAACAAAUAGAUCCAGUCCAAGGUGAAUUUCAGUUUAUAUUUCUUUUUCUUUUAUUUACUUUUAUCUUUAUUUUAUUUUUUUUCCUCUCUAAAAAUAGUUCAUAUCAGCCAUUAAUGUAAUUGAAACUGUGUUAUUGAAUCAAAUACUUUUUCUAGAGUAUUUACUCAAAUACCUUGUGUGUAUUUCUUGUGACUUUUCUAUAAGCGAAUUUGAAAUUAAGUUUUCACUUAAGGAAGCGCGGCUUACAAAAACUAAAGUUCUAACCUCAUGAAACUAGCUUGAUAAAAUUCUCAUCAGAAAGAACUAGCAGAUCAACGCGUUUGAAUUUCUCAUUAUCCUUUCUCCCUUAUUUAUCACUACCGCCCUUGUUCUCUCUUUUCCCCUUUAAAAAAAAUGCAGUACUUUUAUUUUUUCUCUAUUUUUCUUUUUGAGUGUUACUUUUACUUUUCUGAACGUCUAAAAUGUAAAAAUAUGUGUCAAUGUGUCGCCAUUUUAUUAAAAAGAAAAGAAAAAAAAUUGAAUUUUCUGGCGUAUAAUAGAAUUUAUGGCCGAACAAAUAAUUACUCUCAAAAUUACUUAUUAGAAUAAUCUUUUUUACCAUGAAAAUCCAACUCUAAUUACUUUUUUAACAUGGAUCUCUAAUCUAGUUUUGCAAUUGAAACCAUCUGAAAGUAAUUAUAACAUAUACAUACACAUAGACAUAUAUAAACCAAAAAUGCACACUUUUUAAUUUAAUUUUUAUGUCUUUGUUUUAACCAGAGUAAGGUUGCUUCUACUGAUUAACAAUAGCGAGACGUUCAUCUAAAAUUUAUUCCACUUGCUGUUUUUUAUGCGAGUAGUUGUAUUUUUCUAUAAUCUCAUAGCCUCUCCAUUGCAAAAGCAGAGCUACAAAGCGAAAUAGACCUGCAAAAACCACUUCAAUAGAUGCCAUGAGGAAAGAUGUCUGAGGGGAUAAACCAGCUGUAGCUAUUGCCACUGCUCGUCCAUCAAGCCUGCACGGUAUGCUAAAACUUCCUGAUUUAAUGCCUUGUAUUGUUAUCUUCCCAACUUCUUCAGCUUUCAUUCCAGGAGAUGACUCCAAUAUGAUCUUGGUGAUUUCCGGCAUUCUCUCCCUUGCUUCAAAUGUUAGUACAGAAAUGAACUCCACUUUAUAACUUCAUAACAGUAAAAUCUUGUCGAUAUACACAGUUAUGGUGGGGCAAAUGCAAACAAAUUAAAAGUUAAUCUAUGAUUUGAAAGAAAAUAAAAAUAUAUUCCAAACCUUGUUCAAUACCCGAAGUUUCAGUAACGGGAGGGAAAAUGAUAGAGAGAUGAAUGUUGUUCACCAAAAGUUCCUGUUGCAAUGCCUCUGCUAGUCCUCUGAGCCCAAAUUUGGUUGCUGAGUAAGCCGCAAAACCAUAUAUACCCGCCUAUAUUUAUUAAAUAUUGUACGUCAUGAGUAUAAGAAUCAUACAAGACUAAUAUCUCAUUUGGUUUAUAUUAAACCUGGCCGGCCAUUGAAGACAUAAGAGCAAUGGAGGCAGGUCCCUUGUCCUUUCUAUCCUUCAUUAACGGCAAAGCUGCUUUGAUGACAUUGAAGCUUCCCAUCAGAUUCACGUCUAUCAUCGUCUUCAUCACAUCUAGUCCUUGGGUCUCAAACUCCUCAAGGUAAUACACCCCAUGGUUAACUACUAGAACAUCGAUAGGGCCAGCCUCUUUUAUCGCACGCUCAACGGCAUCGUAGUCACGAACAUCAGCACUAAAGAUCGAGACCUCGACUUCAUAGGCUUGACAGAUUGAUUCCUUUGCUUUUUGGAGCCGGUCAACGGAGCGAGCCAAGAGGGAAAUACGCGCUCCCUCCGAUGCAGCUUGUUUGGCUAUGGCUAGCCCGAUGCCCAUUGAACCGCCUGUUAUGAAAACGUGUCGGUUUUUAAUAGGUAUGUUAAUGGGCCGCGGCCGAACGAUGAAGUAGAGGAGGAGGAGAAGGAUUGGUAGGAGGAGAAGACCGAAGAGCACCAUUGAAGUUUAAUUUGUUUUAGGGAGAGAAAUAAUUAAGGUUAAGCAAGCAUCUCUCUCCAUAUGGGGUCUAACAUUAUUUACCGCUUUUUCCUUGAAUUCGGGAAUAAUCCUCAAGUUUUGAGCAUAAAUCUGAAAGCUGGUGUUGUUG
Molecule: long non-coding RNA, 2613 nt
Filed under: Gossypium raimondii (Peruvian cotton)
Lineage: Eukaryota; Viridiplantae; Streptophyta; Magnoliopsida; Malvales; Malvaceae
Description: long non-coding RNA (GRAI_LNC011284)
Source: RNAcentral